GACGAACGCUGGCGGCGUGCUUAACACAUGCAAGUCGAACGGAAAGGCCCUGCUUUUGUGGGGUGCUCGAUUGGCGAACGGGUGAGUAACACGUGAGUAACCUGCCCUUGACUUUGGGAUAACUUCAGGAAACUGGGGCUAAUACCGGAUAGGAGCUCCUGCUGCAUGGGGGGGGUUGGAAAGUUUCGGCGGUUGGGGAUGGACUCGCGGCUUAUCAGCUUGUUGGUGGGGUAGUGGCUUACCAAGGCUUUGACGGGUAGCCGGCCUGAGAGGGUGACCGGCCACAUUGGGACUGAGAUACGGCCCAGACUCCUACGGGAGGCAGCAGUGGGGAAUAUUGCACAAUGGGCGGAAGCCUGAUGCAGCAACGCCGCGUGCGGGAUGACGGCCUUCGGGUUGUAAACCGCUUUCGCCUGUGACGAAGCGUGAGUGACGGUAAUGGGUAAAGAAGCACCGGCUAACUACGUG
Molecule: ribosomal RNA, 468 nt
Filed under: uncultured bacterium
Lineage: Bacteria
Description: partial 16S ribosomal RNA
Rfam family: Bacterial small subunit ribosomal RNA
Source: RNAcentral